AAGUCGUAACAAGGUUUCCGUAGGUGAACCUGCGGAAGGAUCAUUAUAGAAUGUCACCUAUUUUGGUACACUCUUAUUAUCCCUUUGUAUACCUUCUCUGUUGCUUCCAUGGUGCCAGCUAAUUUUAGCUCUGGACAGGUGUUAAUUUCACCUGUUUGGAAGUGCCCAUGGGUGUCCUCUGGGAACUUCGGUACCUGGGGGACUUUUUACAAAUCUAAAAUGGUGAAAUUGUCUGAAUAUACAUUAAAUAAAAAUAAAACUUUCAACAACGGAUCUCUAGGCUCUU
Molecule: unclassified non-coding RNA, 286 nt
Filed under: fungal sp.
Lineage: Eukaryota; Fungi
Description: partial internal transcribed spacer region
Rfam family: Eukaryotic small subunit ribosomal RNA (bases 1-46)
Source: RNAcentral